Long non-coding RNA from Ictalurus punctatus (channel catfish), 1212 nucleotides. Lineage: Eukaryota; Metazoa; Chordata; Actinopteri; Siluriformes; Ictaluridae. The record is from Ensembl.
UUUUUGUACAGUGAUACCCUCCAUUCACACUGGUUUAUCUGUCUUUAAGUUUUGAUUUUGAUGAAUGCUAGUGUGAUGGAGUUUAAUGGAGAAUGCUUGUAUCUGAUGGAAUUUAGUGGAGAAUGAUUGCAUCUGAUGGAGUUUAAUGGAGAAUACUGGGGUCUGAUGGAGUUUAAUGGAGAAUGCUGGUGUCUGAUGGUGUUUAGUGGAGAAUGCUGGUGUCUGAUGGAGUUUAAUGGAGAUUGCUGGUGUCUGAUGGAGUUUAAUGGAGAAUGCUGGUGUCUGAUGGAGUUUAAUGGAGAAUGCUGGUGUCUGAUGGAGUUUAGUGGAGAAUGCUGGUAUCUGAUGGAGUUUAAUGGAGAAUGUUGGUGUCUGAUGGAGUUUAAUGGAGAAUGUUGGUGUCUGAUGGAGUUUAAUGGAGAAUGCUGGUGUCUGAUGGAGUUUAAUGGAGAUUGCUGGUGUCUGAUGGUGUUUAGUGGAGAAUGCUGGUGUCUGAUGGAGUUUAAUGGAGAAUGCUGUAGUCUGAUGGUGUUUAGUGGAGAAUGCUGGUGUCUGAUGAAGUUUAAUGGAGAAUGCUGGUGUCUGAUGGAGUUUAAUGGAGAAUAUUGGUGUCUGAUGGAGUUUAUAUGGAGAAUGCUGGUGUCUGAUGGAGUUUAAUGGAGAAUGCUUGUAUCUGAUGGAGUUUAAUGGAGAAUGCUGGUGUCUGAUGGAGUUUAGUGGAGAAUGCUGGUAUCUGAUGGAGUUUAAUGGAGAUUGCUGGUGUCUGAUGGUGUUUAGUGGAGAUUGCUAGUGUCUGAUGGUGUUUAGUGGAGAAUGCUGGUGUCUGAUGGAGUUUAGUGGAGAAUGCUGUUGUCUGAUGGUGUUUAGUGGAGAAUGCUGGUGUCUGAUGGAGUUUAAUGGAGAAUGCUGGUGUCUGAGUGAGUUUAAUGGAGAAUGCUGGUGUCUGAUGGAGUUUAAUUGAGAUUGCUGGUGUCUGAUGGUGUUUAGUGGAGAAUGCUGGUGUCUGAUGGAGUUUAGUGGAGAAUGCUGUUGUCUGAUGGUGUUUAGUGGAGAAUGUUGGUGUCUGAUGGAGUUUAAUGGACAAUGCUGGUAUCUGAUGGAGUUUAGUGGAGAAUGCUGGUAUCUGAUGGAGUUUAGUGGAGAAUGCUGGUGUCUGAUGGAGUUUAAUGGAGAAUGCUGGUGUCUGAUGGAGUUUAAUGGAGAAUGCUGGUU